GCUCCGCUGGCGCAAUGGUAGCGCGCCAGACUUCUAUUAUUGAAAUCUGGAGGGUAUGCAUCAUUCUCUCCAUCACCGCGCUCCAUGUCAGAAAACUAACGGGAUUCCAUAGUUGUGGGUUCGAGUCCCACGCGGAGUG
Molecule: transfer RNA, 139 nt
Organism: Cladophialophora immunda
Lineage: Eukaryota; Fungi; Ascomycota; Eurotiomycetes; Chaetothyriales; Herpotrichiellaceae
Rfam family: tRNA
About the family: Transfer RNA (tRNA) molecules are approximately 80 nucleotides in length. Their secondary structure includes four short double-helical elements and three loops (D, anti-codon, and T loops).
Source: Rfam